AAAGCUUUCAUGAAUAAGACGUACCUCCGCAGUUAGUAGUGACCGUCCUGUUUUUGAUUCCGCGAAUUCUGUAUUUCCGUAAACGCUGAUCAGGCAUCACGACGAUGGCCUGGCGGCAAGAUAAAAUGAUUGAUUUCAGGAAGUUUAAGUAUGUCUACUACUACCGGCACUGUUAAGUUCUUCAACGAAGCAAAAGGCUUUGGCUUUAUCACUCGUGAAGGCGGCCCGGACGUAUUCGUUCACUACAGCGCAAUUCAGGGCAGCGGCUUCAAGACCCUGGCAGAAGGCCAGCAGGUUGAGUUCACCGUUACCCAGGGCCAGAAAGGUCCUCAGGCGGAAAACGUUACUGCUAUCUAACGGAUAGUAGGGCACCGCCAGAAAGGCAGCCUCGGCUGCCUUUUUUUG
Molecule: small RNA, 405 nt
Filed under: Marinobacter salarius
Lineage: Bacteria; Pseudomonadati; Pseudomonadota; Gammaproteobacteria; Pseudomonadales; Marinobacteraceae
Also listed under: 2 other names
Description: cspA
Rfam family: cspA thermoregulator
Source: RNAcentral